AUCCCUUUCCUUCAUACUUCAUAUAAAUAAAUCUAAAACCCCGGAGUAUAUCUUUCCACGGAUCGAAGGAAAAAAGACAGUUCGAUCGAUUAUUUAUUUUUAGAUUCUUUUAUCUGUUAGAAAAAGAGAUAAUAUACUAUUUUCCUUUUAGAAAAUCGAAAAUUCAAUAAAAAUAAAAUAAAUAAGAGACUGGAAAUGAAAGUCUCUUUCUCGGAUCUAUUCUUCAUCACACUGUUGGAACAAAACAAAAAUACCGGAUGCAA
This 263-nucleotide long non-coding RNA is filed under the name Nicotiana benthamiana. RNAcentral describes it as "long non-coding RNA (NBEN_LNC016157)". The record is from RNAcentral. Lineage: Eukaryota; Viridiplantae; Streptophyta; Magnoliopsida; Solanales; Solanaceae.